RNAcentral lists this ribosomal RNA (422 nucleotides) under uncultured bacterium. RNAcentral's name for it is "bacterial SSU rRNA". It matches the Rfam family "Bacterial small subunit ribosomal RNA", at positions 917 to 1344 of the family's 1533-position model. The record is from RNAcentral.
GGGCCCGCACAAGCGGUGGAGCAUGUGGUUUAAUUCGAUGCAACGCGAAGAACCUUACCAGGGCUUGACAUACUACAGAUUCUUUAGAGAUAGAGAAGUGCCUUCGGGAAUGUAGAUACAGGUGGUGCAUGGCUGUCGUCAGCUCGUGUCGUGAGAUGUUGGGUUAAGUCCCGCAACGAGCGCAACCCUUAUUUUUAGUUACCAAUUCGUUGGGUUCUCUAGAAAGCUGCCGGUGACAAACCGGAGGAAGGUGAGGAUGACGUCAAGUCAGCAUGCCCCUUAUGUCCUGGGCUACACACGUGCUACAAUGGUUAAGACAAAGAGUCGCGAGCUCGCAAGGGUCAGCUAAUCUCAUAAACUUAGCCUAAGUUCAGAUUGUAGGCUGCAACUCGCCUACAUGAAGUUGGAAUCGCUAGUAAUCG